RNAcentral lists this long non-coding RNA (939 nucleotides) under Malus domestica (apple). Its description in RNAcentral is "long non-coding RNA (MDOM_LNC013543)". The record is from RNAcentral. Lineage: Eukaryota; Viridiplantae; Streptophyta; Magnoliopsida; Rosales; Rosaceae.
AUAUAUAUAUUAACAAAUAUAUGAAACAUAUACAAUAAAUAUCGGAAGGAAAAUGUAAAUAUAGGGGGUUCAUGCAUCAUGAGGAAUGUUUUUAUGCUUCAUGGUCGUUUCAAAUAUCUUAAUUUAUUUUAAAAGAACCUGACUGGCAGAAAACAAUUGAGCCUUUGAUGUUGUAGAAGAGCCUCCUCCACGAACCUUCAGUUCCUUAGCUUAUGGCAUGAGCGUGUCGAUAAUGUGUUGUAGGCCUAAUUUAUUGAAAAAUAUAAAGGAUAGGGAGAGAGGGGGUCGGCGGCACAGAGAGAAGAGAGAGAUGUGUAAGGUGUGUGUAUGCCUCCUCAUUGUGCCUGUAUUUAUAGUAGUAGGGUAGGUAAAUUUCUUACCCCAAUGGGAUUACAACUCUAAUAGGAUAAUAUCUAAUCUAUAUCCUAGAUCUGUUAGGAUUUACACAAUCACAUUCCUAAUCUAACAGGACUACAACAACUAUUAUAUUAUAUAUGUAUAUAUAUUUAUAUUCAGUGAACCUAUGCUAUUAUUACCUUAUUCAUUACUCACAGCAUAAUAUAUUAAUAGAUAAUAUAAUAGUAUUCACCGGACCCUAUAUUAUAUUUAUUAUGUGUCAAACCCUAUACUAUAUUCAUUACGCAUCAAACAUCAUGCUUAUGGGAGAUAUCAACGGCCAACAUCAUCAAUGUUUUACUCAAUACUCUUAUUUUUAUACUCUACAAAAUUGAUUCAUUGCUAUGUUUUUUAUUAUUGGAUGUGGCUAUUUGAUGCGAUGAAAGUUAAGCACUCAAAUUAAACCCUCUUGUUGUCAAAUUGUAGUAUAAAUGCAAGUAGUGUUGGAAGUAUGCCCACAAAGCCACUCAUUUGAUGUAAUAGCCUUUUGGAAUACUUAAUGUAUUAAACUUUUAUAUGUUUAAUGGAGGGCAAAGCUUAUUG